Molecule: ribosomal RNA, 492 nt
Filed under: uncultured bacterium
Lineage: Bacteria
Description: partial 16S ribosomal RNA
Rfam family: Bacterial small subunit ribosomal RNA
Source: RNAcentral
GAUGAACGCUAGCUACAGGCUUAACACAUGCAAGUCGAGGGGAAACGACAUCGAAAGCUUGCUUUUGAUGGGCGUCGACCGGCGCACGGGUGAGUAACGCGUAUCCAACCUGCCCAUCACUUGGGAAUAACCUUGCGAAAGUAAGACUAAUACCCAAUGACAUCCCACGAAGACAUCUGAAUGGGAUUAAAGAUUUAUCGGUGAUGGAUGGGGAUGCGUCUGAUUAGCUUGUUGGCGGGGUAACGGCCCACCAAGGCAACGAUCAGUAGGGGUUCUGAGAGGAAGGUCCCCCACAUUUGAACUGAGACACGGUCCAAACUCCUACGGGAGGCAGCAGUGAGGAAUAUUAGUCAAUGGGCGAGAGCCUGAACCAGCCAAGUAGCGUGCAGGAUGACGGCCCUAUGGGUUGUAAACUGCUUUUAUAAGGGAAUAAAGUGGGUCUCGUGAGACUUUUUGCAUGUACCUUAUGAAUAAGGACCGGCUAAUUCCGUG